AAUAAAUGGAGAUAAGAAACCAUUCAAAAACGAGGCGUAAACCGAAAAGCCAAACGAGUAGGUCAUGG
Non-coding RNA from Myroides odoratus DSM 2801, 68 nucleotides. NCBI's taxonomy places the organism in Bacteria, Pseudomonadati, Bacteroidota, Flavobacteriia, Flavobacteriales, Flavobacteriaceae. The record is from Rfam.